This 480-nucleotide ribosomal RNA is filed under the name uncultured bacterium. RNAcentral describes it as "bacterial SSU rRNA". It matches the Rfam family "Bacterial small subunit ribosomal RNA", at positions 28 to 506 of the family's 1533-position model. The record is from RNAcentral.
GAUGAACGCUAGCGGCAGGCUUAAUACAUGCAAGUCGAACGGUAACAGGUCUUCGGACGCUGACGAGUGGCGCACGGGUGAGGAACACGUACACAAUCUACCUUAUACUGGAGAAUAGCCCCGGGAAACUGGGAUUAAUACUCCAUAGUCUUUAAUGAUCACAUGAGAAAUAAAGUAAAGCUUCGGCGGUAUAAGAUGAGUGUGCGUCCCAUUAGAUUGUUGGUAAGGUAACGGCUCACCAAGUCGACGAUGGGUAGCUGGCGUGAGAGCGCGACCAGCCACACUGGCACUGAGACACGGGCCAGACUCCUACGGGAGGCAGCAGUAGGGAAUAUUGGUCAAUGGACGAAAGUCUGAACCAGCCAUGCCGCGUGGAGGAUGACUGCCCUCUGGGUUGUAAACUCCUUUUAUAUGGGAAGAAACCUCUGGAUUCACUCCAGAGCUGACGGUAUCAUAUGAAUGAGCACCGGCUAACUCCGU